UACGGGGGGGGCAAGCGUUGUUCGGAAUUACUGGGCGUAAAGGGCUCGUAGGCGGCCAACUAAGUCAGACGUGAAAUCCCUCGGCUUAACCGGGGAACUGCGUCUGAUACUGGAUGGCUUGAGAUUGGGAGAGGGAUGCGGAAUUCCAGGUGUAGCGGUGAAAUGCGUUGAUAUCAUCAGGAAUACCGGAGGCGAAGGCGGCUCACUGGGACCUAACUGACACUGAACCGCGAAAGCAUGGGUAGCGAACGGG
Molecule: ribosomal RNA, 253 nt
Filed under: uncultured bacterium
Lineage: Bacteria
Description: partial 16S ribosomal RNA
Rfam family: Bacterial small subunit ribosomal RNA
Source: RNAcentral